AUAUAAACUUAGACUUACGGGUGUGGAAGCCGGUGAAAUCCCGGCGCGGUCGCGCCACUGUAAUCGACGGGCGGAUACCGCCCCCAGAGAGCCAGACCCUUCCCGUAAAAAACCCUUCCGC
This 121-nucleotide non-coding RNA is filed under the name Agrobacterium radiobacter. The record is from RNAcentral. Lineage: Bacteria; Pseudomonadati; Pseudomonadota; Alphaproteobacteria; Hyphomicrobiales; Rhizobiaceae.